CCGAGUUUACAACUCCCAAACCCAAUGUGAACCAUACCAAACUGUUGCCUCGGCGGGGUCACGCCCCGGGUGCGUCGCAGCCCCGGAACCAGGCGCCCGCCGGAGGGACCAACCAAACUCUUUCUGUAGUCCCCUCGCGGACGUUAUUUCUUACAGCUCUGAGCAAAAAUUCAAAAUGAAUCAAAACUUUCAACAACGGAUCUCUUGGUUCUGGCAUCGAUGAAGAACGCAGCGAAAUGCGAUAAGUAAUGUGAAUUGCAGAAUUCAGUGAAUCAUCGAAUCUUUGAACGCACAUUGCGCCCGCCAGUAUUCUGGCGGGCAUGCCUGUCCGAGCGUCAUUUCAACCCUCGAACCCCUCCGGGGGGUCGGCGUUGGGGAUCGGGAACCCCUAAGACGGGAUCCCGGCCCCGAAAUACAGUGGCGGUCUCGCCGCAGCCUCUCCUGCGCAGUAGUUUGCACAACUCGCACCGGGAGCGCGGCGCGUCCACGUCCGUAAAACACCCAACUUCUGAAAUGUUGACCUCGGAUCAGGUAGGAAUACCCGCUGAACUUAAGCAUAUCAAA
Molecule: ribosomal RNA, 564 nt
Filed under: Trichoderma asperellum
Lineage: Eukaryota; Fungi; Ascomycota; Sordariomycetes; Hypocreales; Hypocreaceae
Description: eukaryotic LSU rRNA
Rfam family: 5.8S ribosomal RNA (bases 185-338)
Source: RNAcentral